Molecule: long non-coding RNA, 1885 nt
Filed under: Marmota monax (woodchuck)
Lineage: Eukaryota; Metazoa; Chordata; Mammalia; Rodentia; Sciuridae
Source: RNAcentral
GGGAUUGAACCCAGGGGUGCUUAAUCACUGAGCCACAUCCCCAGCCUUUGUUGUUGUUGUUAUUAUUAUUAUUAUUUUAAAAUUUGAGACAGGGUCUCAUUAAGUUGCUUAGAGCCUUGCUAAAUUGCUAAGGCUAGUUUUGAACUUGUGGUCCUUCUGCCUCAGCCUCCUGAGCUGCUGGGAUUACAGGCGUGUGCUAUAACACUUGGCUGUAUUUGUGGAAGUCCAGAUUGCUGUAAGUGUUCUAGCAUCUGGGACUUCUCUUGUCAUAGCACACACCAGCCUGCAACCUGGUUCUCUGUUCACUUGCCUCUCUUCCCUAUGAGAUUGUAAGCUGUAUGAGGACAGGAGUCUUCCAUUUUGCACACUUAUUCUCCAGCAUACAUCACAGUACAGAGUGUGCAGAGGAUACAAAAUAGCUAUUUAUUGCAUGAAUGAAGGAGUGAUGUAUAGGUCUUUGUUCCUUCUCCUACAGGAAUUAUGCCUCAUUCCUUUCUGACUCCUUUAGAACUAGAAAUCUCUUUGGCAAAACUCAGAUGAGUCAUGGAGUAUGGCUACAGGAGCAACCAUGUGAAGAAACAGAUAGCUGCACAUAUGCUCCUCUGCUGAACUUGAUAUUACCAAUUUGAUUAAAUGCCAAGUCUGCUUAACUUUCUGGGAUUGGGUCAGAAUAUUUCUGCUUUUUCAUUGUGGAAUUAGUGAAACUUCAUAUUUAUGAACUUUUUUUAGUUAGGUCAUAAUUUUGGAGUUUAUUUUUCAAUAUUCUCUGUUGUUCUGUCUAAGAUAUUUCAUUGACAUUUACCUCACCUUUAAAUUCUGUGUAUUCUUAUAAUUUCCAGAAAUUUUGUUGAUUACCAUAAAAAUUUUUAUUUUGAGGUUUAAAAUUACCCAAGUGCAAACUAUGAUAUGCCUAAGGCAUAUCAUAUUUUUUAAUAACAGUUGGUUCUAAAUUUUAAUAGUAAUAAUUAGAGCAUUUUGUAUUUCAGAAGCUUUCUCUUGGGACUUUUUAAAAGAUAUUUUUCUGCCAUACAUUUUCUCUCUGUAUCACACAGAAAUAUACAUUUGUAUUUUAAUAUUAGACAGUAGACUUUACCUAAUUGGUACUUGCCACUAGAAACAGGGACCUCAUGGUGUAUGCAACAAUGAAUAAACUGCAAAAUAAAUACUAUUGGAAGAAGAAAAAGGAAGAAAAUAGGCUCUUUUUUUUGUUAAGUAAAUGCAUUUGUUACUUUUCUCAUCUCAUCAAGUUCCUCAGGCACAUGGUAAAUCUUUGAAAUCAUCAGCAAUUGUGUCCAUUUCCAACUAAGCAGCAAUCACCAUAGUAAAUUUUGUAAGAUGUAAAACACUCUUCUAUUGAAAAUUUUAUUGAUGUUUACUAUAAAAAGAACACAUAAUGAUAUCUGGAGUGACUCUCAUAAGAUACUAAGCAUAACACAAAACACAACAAGCAAAGUCUGUAAAAGCAAAUAACUCACCACAAACCUCUUAAAGGGUUUAUCUUUUCUGACCCUCUGAGCUUGGAAUUGGAGUAUCUUUAUCCAAGAUACACUAUCAUCACUUGACUAAGUAUGAUCAUCUUUUAUUUAUUUGCUUUUAUAAUAUAAAAAUGCCCAGCAGCUUAAAACUUACCCCAAGAACUGUAUAUUAUAUAUAUCUUGAAUUUACUUGUAUCUUUUCUGGCUAUUUUUUUUUCCCUUCAGAGGGAAGCACCAUCACAAAUUUCACAUCUUGUGUUACUUGUAAAAUGGUUUUGUUGCAUACACAUAAACAAAAAGAAAUGCGUAUACCUAAGCAUUGUUUAGUUUUGUUUGUUUAAUUUUGCUUCUUCUCAUUUAGCGUUAUUACUAAGAGUCAUUGGUGUUGUCUCUGCAAAUCAUUAACUUUU